This 459-nucleotide ribosomal RNA is filed under the name uncultured bacterium. RNAcentral describes it as "partial 16S ribosomal RNA". It matches the Rfam family "Bacterial small subunit ribosomal RNA", at positions 338 to 794 of the family's 1533-position model. The record is from RNAcentral.
CCUACGGGGGGCUGCAGUGAGGAAUAUUGGUCAAUGGGCGCAAGCCUGAACCAGCCAAGUCGCGUGAGGGAUGACGGUCCUAUGGAUUGUAAACCUCUUUUGUCGGGGAGCAAGGCCCGCCACGUGUGGCGGGAAGGAGAGUACCCGAAGAAAAAGCAUCGGCUAACUCCGUGCCAGCAGCCGCGGUAAUACGGAGGAUGCGAGCGUUAUCCGGAUUUAUUGGGUUUAAAGGGUGCGUAGGCGGAAGGUUAAGUCAGCGGUAAAAUGUCGGUGCUCAACACCGGCCUGCCGUUGAAACUGGUCUUCUUGAGUGAGCGAGAAGUAUGCGGAAUGCGGGGUGUAGCGGUGAAAUGCAUAGAUAUCACGCAGAACUCCGAUUGCGAAGGCAGCAUACCGGCGCUCAACUGACGCUGAGGAACGAAAGCGUGGGGAUCGAACAGGAUUAGAUACCCCGGUAGU